Molecule: ribosomal RNA, 490 nt
Filed under: uncultured bacterium
Lineage: Bacteria
Description: partial 16S ribosomal RNA
Rfam family: Bacterial small subunit ribosomal RNA
Source: RNAcentral
AUUGAACGCUGGCGGCAGGCCUAACACAUGCAAGUCGAACGGUAACAGGAAGCAGCUUGCUGCUUCGCUGACGAGUGGCGGACGGGUGAGUAAUGUCUGGGAAGCUACCUGAUGGAGGGGGAUAACUACUGGAAACGGUAGCUAAUACCGCAUAAUGUCGCAAGACCAAAGAGGGGGACCUUCGGGCCUCUUGCCAUCGGAUGUGCCCAGAUGGGAUUAGCUUGUUGGUGGGGUAACGGCUCACCAAGGCGACGAUCCCUAGCUGGUCUGAGAGGAUGACCAGCCACACUGGGACUGAGACACGGUCCAGACUCCUACGGGAGGCAGCAGUGGGGAAUAUUGCACAAUGGGCGCAAGCCUGAUGCAGCCAUGCCGCGUGUAUGAAGAAGGCCUUCGGGUUGUAAAGUACUUUCAGCGGGGAGGAAGGGAGUAAAGUUAAUACCUUUGCUCAUUGACGUUACCCGCAGAAGAAGCACCGGCUAACUCCGUG